Molecule: ribosomal RNA, 465 nt
Filed under: uncultured bacterium
Lineage: Bacteria
Description: partial 16S ribosomal RNA
Rfam family: Bacterial small subunit ribosomal RNA
Source: RNAcentral
GAUGAACGCUGGCGGCGUGCUUAACACAUGCAAGUCGAACGGAAAGGCUCCUGCUUGCAGGGGUACUCGAGUGGCGAACGGGUGAGUAACACGUGGGUGAUCUGCCCUGCACUUCGGGAUAAGCCUGGGAAACUGGGUCUAAUACCGGAUAGGACGAUGGUUUGGAUGCCAUUGUGGAAAGUUUUUCGGUGUGGGAUGAGCUCGCGGCCUAUCAGCUUGUUGGUGGGGUAAUGGCCUACCAAGGCGUCGACGGGUAGCCGGCCUGAGAGGGUGUACGGCCACAUUGGGACUGAGAUACGGCCCAGACUCCUACGGGAGGCAGCAGUGGGGAAUAUUGCACAAUGGGCGCAGGCCUGAUGCAGCGACGCCGCGUGGGGGAUGACGGCCUUCGGGUUGUAAACUCCUUUCGCUAGGGACGAAGCGCAAGUGACGGUACCUGGAGAAGAAGCACCGGCUAACUACGUG